This 66-nucleotide transfer RNA is filed under the name Chaetoderma nitidulum. RNAcentral's name for it is "tRNA-Gln". The record is from RNAcentral. Lineage: Eukaryota; Metazoa; Mollusca; Caudofoveata; Chaetodermatida; Chaetodermatidae.
AUAUAAAUAGUAUAAAAUACACGAAUUUUUGAUAUUUGAGAUAAAAGGUUGUUCUUUUUUUAUAUG